UAGCAUCCAUGACACAAAAAAAAAACAAAAUAAUAAAAAUAACAUAUAUAAUAAAUAAAACCAAAAAAAUAAUAAAAAUAAAAAAAAUUUAAUAAAGCACCCACGCAUGCUGUCACGAACGUUUUGACCGUUGCAUGAUCAGAGGUGUGACGAGCGUAACGCAUGCUGUCACGGUCGCCACACCCCCAUGACGCCCGUCACGCAUGUUGUCACGAGCGUGACAACUUGCUUUCUCGUAAAUGUUGUUGACCGUUAUGACAAGACCGUUACUCCCCUUUUCAAUUCACCUUUAUUCUAUUCAUCUCACCUCUUUAUCCCCAUUCAACUCACCUCUCUACCCCCAUUAAUUUUUUUUAAUUUUUUUUCACCCACUUCUCUUCCCAAUUUCAAAACUCUUCCUAUAAAUACCUUCACUACAUUUCUUCUUACACCACAUCAUUCCAUUCUAUACAAAAAAAAUUUCAUCCUCUUUUCCUU
RNAcentral lists this long non-coding RNA (477 nucleotides) under Lathyrus oleraceus (garden pea). RNAcentral describes it as "Pisum sativum (pea) long non-coding RNA (PSAT_LNC009814)". The record is from RNAcentral. Lineage: Eukaryota; Viridiplantae; Streptophyta; Magnoliopsida; Fabales; Fabaceae.